UACGGGAGGCAGCAGUGGGGAAUAUUGCACAAUGGGCGCAAGCCUGAUGCAGCCAUGCCGCGUGUAUGAAAAAGGCCUUCGGGUUGUAAAGUACUUUCAGUCGUGAGGAAGGUGUUAAGGUUAAUAACCUUAGCAAUUGACGUUAGCGACAGAAGAAGCACCGGCUAACUCCGUGCCAGCAGCCGCGGUAAUACGGAGAGGGCUAGCGUUAUUCGGAAUUAUUGGGCGUAAAGAGCGCGUAGGCUGAUUAGUAAGUUAAAAGUGAAAUCCCAAAGCUUAACUUUGGAAUUGCUUUUUAAAACUGCUAGUCUAGAGAUUGAAAGAGGAUAGAGGAAUUCCUAGUGUAGAGGUGAAAUUCGUAAAUAUUAGGAGGAACACCAGUGGCGAAGGCGUCUAUCUGGUUCAAAUCUGACGCUGAGGCGCGAAGGCGUGGGGAGCAAACAGGGAUUAGAUACC
RNAcentral lists this ribosomal RNA (456 nucleotides) under uncultured bacterium. RNAcentral describes it as "bacterial SSU rRNA". It matches the Rfam family "Bacterial small subunit ribosomal RNA", at positions 340 to 786 of the family's 1533-position model. The record is from RNAcentral.